Prunus mume (Japanese apricot) is the source of this 162-nucleotide non-coding RNA. The record is from RefSeq and is a predicted model, not a curated record. Lineage: Eukaryota; Viridiplantae; Streptophyta; Magnoliopsida; Rosales; Rosaceae.
GUACAUAUUGCUGGUUUCUUUGUGGGGUAUAUAUCAGCAGCUGUUUGAGGGUUUAGAGAAGCACAAAGACGAGCAAUAUCAAUUGAGGUUGGUAUGCAAAAUUCUUCUUUGGGUGUGGUUUUGGCCACUUCUCAUUUCACCUCGCCGAUGGUUGCAUUACCC